UCUGCGACUCACGUUACUUAAUUUUUACAAGUGUGUCGGAGAACUACGGUGGCCUUCAGGUAACGUAAAAACUCGAAAGGCCCUCUCUAGUGCUAGUUGUUGUGAGAGUAGCGUAGCUCAUU
Molecule: long non-coding RNA, 122 nt
Organism: Sebastes umbrosus (honeycomb rockfish)
Lineage: Eukaryota; Metazoa; Chordata; Actinopteri; Perciformes; Sebastidae
Exons: 5
Source: RefSeq, a predicted model, not a curated record